This 340-nucleotide long non-coding RNA is filed under the name Vombatus ursinus (common wombat). RNAcentral describes it as "lncRNA (ENSVURG00010021525.1)". The record is from RNAcentral. Lineage: Eukaryota; Metazoa; Chordata; Mammalia; Diprotodontia; Vombatidae.
CAAUUUUUUUACAACCUGCAUCACAUCUUGACCAUGACAUAUUUUUCUCCCCUAGGUGAAUGGAACAGAGAAAAAGACAGGAGGGCCCUGCUUCAAGAUCCUGGUUGAUUAAUCCAGGAGAAAUAUCCCUUCUAAAUUCCAGUGGCUCCCUAUUCCUUCAAGGAUCAAAUAUAAAAUUUGUACUGUUCGGCUUUCAAACUCCUAUAAAACCUGACCAUUUCCUAUCUUUUCAGAAUUCUUAUACCUUGCUCCCCCAUCUUGGAUUAUACAGGCAAAUGACAGUCCUCCUUCCUUGCUAUUUCUCUCACAAGACACUCAAUGCAUUUUCAUUGGCUGCCCC